GGUCUACUCUAAUUCAACGAAACAAAACUUCGAUAUCGAACGAAAUUCAAACGAAGUUUCGUUAGUGACCCUACUCUAUUUCAUUUUCGGAUGCGCAUACGAAGUUCGGAACCAUAGACAAUUUUCGUGAACGAAUGGAAUCUAUAAUAUUGUGUGGGGCUUUUAUGAUGUCGACUAAACUAAGUUACGGUUUUUACUUUAACUUGAAAUUAUUAAACUUUUCAGCUUUACUUAUUCAUGUAACAUUAUAAAUGUGAUUCAUUACAUAUUUCUUGUAAUAUUCAUGCAAACAAUCUUAACUUUCCGGCAAAAAAUAUUUUUUCAACUACAUUCGACUCGACACUAUAAAAAACCCUUUGACAGUCAUUGCUAACCAACUAAUUUGAAGAGUACUAUUUCAUGCCAAAAAUGGGUAAUCACGUAUGACAACCAAAAAUAGCUGCUUAUUACAAUCUUAUCAAAACAUGUCAACUUACAAUUCUUUGUUUGAAUACUUUGAUAAGUUUUCUGAAGUGUGUUUCUCAAGUGUCGUAUUAAAUAAAUCAUGUUUCCAAGUGCUUUUAUACCAAGGUACGCGUUCCCUAAGGAAGUAUUAUGUCGUACUUUACUACAGUCCGACUUCUACGUAGGUACGUCUGCUGUAUUUUGGUUCGCAACAAGUUUGUUUUGGAUUUAAAAACUUCUUUAAAAUGGCUCCACAUAAGGGGUUCGGCAACUCCUCAACAAAUCGAAACCGUUCUCAA
Long non-coding RNA from Helicoverpa zea (corn earworm), 743 nucleotides. RefSeq lists it as uncharacterized. NCBI's taxonomy places the organism in Eukaryota, Metazoa, Arthropoda, Insecta, Lepidoptera, Noctuidae. The transcript has 2 exons. The record is from RefSeq and is a predicted model, not a curated record.